CUUUAUCUGAAAUAUUAAAAAAUAGAUUUGAUUUUAAGUUCCUUGAGGUCAGGGGCUGUCUUUCAUCUCUUUUUUAUAUUCCCAGAGCUUAGCAAAGUAGCUGGCACAUAGCAGGUGCUUAAUAAAUGUUUAUUGGUUGAAUGACUGAUUGAUUAGAUCAUCUCUAAGACUGCUUCCAGCUCCAAAUCUAUGAAUCGCUUUUGGGCCACUGAAGCCACUGACUACAUUGGACCAAUGAGGCAACAUAUAGUUAGAGUACCAGGCCUAGAGACAAUAAAAACAGAAUCAUUCAAAUAUAUCCUCAGACCUUUACUAGCUGUGACCCAAGAGAAAGAAACUGAGGUACAAUCUGAUGAUGAAAUUAGAAGACCAACUCCAAAAAGAUAA
Molecule: long non-coding RNA, 387 nt
Filed under: Monodelphis domestica (gray short-tailed opossum)
Lineage: Eukaryota; Metazoa; Chordata; Mammalia; Didelphimorphia; Didelphidae
Description: lncRNA (ENSMODG00000030828.2)
Source: RNAcentral